Molecule: transfer RNA, 51 nt
Filed under: Centrorhynchus aluconis
Lineage: Eukaryota; Metazoa; Acanthocephala; Palaeacanthocephala; Polymorphida; Centrorhynchidae
Description: tRNA-Phe
Source: RNAcentral
GUUCCUGAAGCUCUUUGAGUGCAGUAUUGAAGGUUCUGAGGAUGGGGGACA